This 1830-nucleotide unclassified non-coding RNA is filed under the name Hevea brasiliensis (rubber tree). The record is from RNAcentral. Lineage: Eukaryota; Viridiplantae; Streptophyta; Magnoliopsida; Malpighiales; Euphorbiaceae.
AAAGUAUAUAAUUGAAUCAACUAUUAAGGAAUGAAUCAUGUGUUACGCUAUAAAUUAACUCGUCACUUUGAAGCCACCGCUCGUUGCUGUGGAUCGCACGUUCUCCUCGUCUUUGUGGUGGUGGCCGUCGUCGUGUUUCGUCACUUUGAAGCCAUUAUCGUUAUCUUUUAGAGUUUCACGAUCUUUACUGAACCAAAAAGAAAUUUAAGUGGACAAUUCCAGAGAGAUUCAAUAAUUUCCCCAAUUCGAGUCCUCACCAAUUCGACAGAGGGUUAGUGAAUUCAACUCAAGUGAGAGCAAUAUAGGCUUUAAUGUCAAGAAAUAACAUGGAGCAGCGCAAGGAAGAGAAAAACAAGUACAGUAUUAUAAUCCCAACCUACAAUGAGCGCCUCAACAUUGCCAUCAUCGUCUACCUCAUCUUUAAGCAUGUCAGGGAUGUUGAGUUUGAAAUUAUUGUUGUUGACGAUGGGAGUCCUGAUGGUACUCAAGAUGUUGUAAAGCAGUUGCAGCAAGUUUACGGUGAAGAUUGCAUUUUGUUAAGACCAAGGCCGAAGAAGCUUGGUUUAGGUAGGUGGUUAUGUUUUUAUGUAUGAUAAUAAUGGGAAACUUGUCCUUCAUGCAUUUAUACCCUCAGGAACGGCUUACAUUCAUGGUUUGAAGCAUGCAUCUGGAAAUUUCGUUGUAAUCAUGGAUGCUGAUCUAUCCCACCAUGUAAGUAUUAUUCAUCUGUAGUUCAACAUUUAGAUCCACCUCUAAUGCUUGGAAGCUUAUUGGCGACUUCUAAUUUAUAUGUGCAUCCCUUAUCUUCUGGACCUUGUGCAUGUAAUUUCUAUAUAUAUUUCUCAGUGAUCUACUUCAUCUGAAAAGGAAAUUGAAAGAAAAAAAUAUUUCUAGGCUUACAUGCAUGUGGUUGGGAUUGGAAACUGUAUAAAUAAUAGCUCAGGUUGAUCCAUUUUCAAGUUUCAUCUAUCUGAUUUGUGUGAUUCAUGUUUUGCAGCCAAAGUACUUGCCAAGCUUUAUCAAAAAACAGUUGGAGACUGGUGCAAGUAUAGUCACUGGAACCCGGUAUGCUCAGGGCGGCGGUGUACAUGGUUGGAAUCUUAUGCGCAAACUAACAAGUAGGGGAGCAAAUGUUCUUGCACAAACACUUCUGUGGCCUGGUGUAUCUGAUUUGACAGGGUCUUUCCGGUAUAUGAAUGAGUUUAUGGUAUUCGUGCGUUCGUUUUUCUAUACUUGGUGGAUUUUUUAUGAGAUCUCUCUCUCUCUCUUUUCCCCCCUUUUUUUCUUUGAAGGCUUUAUAAAAAAUCAGUUCUCGAAGAUAUAAUAACCUCAGUUGUUAGCAAGGGGUAUGUCUUUCAAAUGGAGAUGAUUGUUCGGGCUUCCAGAAAAGGGUACCAUAUUGAGGAGGUUCCAAUUACUUUUGUUGACAGAGUUUUUGGAAGUUCAAAGCUUGGAGGAUCUGAGAUUGUUGAAUAUCUGAAAGGUGUUGCUUAUCUUCUGGUUACAACGUAAGGGGUCAUUUGAACCUCGUGCUCCGUGAAAUGUUGCAUUUCUCCUAAAGAAUUUAAUAGGCUUUCAUCAUCAUCUUUUUAUGUUUUCUAGUUAUGAUGCGUCUAUUUUUAUGAAGAGUUUUUAUAUGGAGUGAUAGGUUAUACAACACAAACUUAUCAAUGCUUUUAAUGAAUUGUUUAUCGAGUUCAAAUCACAUAUAAACUUAGUGCUGUUGCAAAAUUCACAUGCAAAGUCAUGAGCGUUGAACAGAUAAGAUACAUUUUAACUGCUUGGCACAACUUGCUCUUGUUAUUCUUCUACAACUCAGCUUUCCUUGUU